RNAcentral lists this unclassified non-coding RNA (148 nucleotides) under uncultured fungus. Its description in RNAcentral is "sequence contains ITS1, 5.8S rRNA gene". Lineage: Eukaryota; Fungi. The record is from RNAcentral.
UUGAAUUGUAAAAAUGGGGAGUUGCUUUCGAGCACUCCUCUACAUUUUCAUUAUCCUAACACCUGUGAAUCGUUGCUGAGUUCGCUCAGUGGCACCUUUUUUACACACACUUUAUAGUUUAGAACGUAAAAUAUACAAAACAAAUAUA